This 465-nucleotide ribosomal RNA is filed under the name Vreelandella stevensii. RNAcentral describes it as "partial 16S ribosomal RNA". It matches the Rfam family "Bacterial small subunit ribosomal RNA", at positions 338 to 795 of the family's 1533-position model. The record is from RNAcentral. Lineage: Bacteria; Pseudomonadati; Pseudomonadota; Gammaproteobacteria; Oceanospirillales; Halomonadaceae.
CCUACGGGUGGCAGCAGUGGGGAAUAUUGGACAAUGGGGGGAACCCUGAUCCAGCCAUGCCGCGUGUGUGAAGAAGGCCCUCGGGUUGUAAAGCACUUUCAGUGAGGAAGAACGCCUGGUGGUUAAUACCCAUCAGGAAAGACAUCACUCACAGAAGAAGCACCGGCUAACUCCGUGCCAGCAGCCGCGGUAAUACGGAGGGUGCGAGCGUUAAUCGGAAUUACUGGGCGUAAAGCGCGCGUAGGUGGCUUGAUAAGCCGGUUGUGAAAGCCCCGGGCUCAACCUGGGAACGGCAUCCGGAACUGUCAAGCUAGAGUGCAGAAGAGGAAGGUAGAAUUCCCGGUGUAGCGGUGAAAUGCGUAGAGAUCGGGAGGAAUACCAGUGGCGAAGGCGGCCUUCUGGACUGACACUGACACUGAGGUGCGAAAGCGUGGGUAGCAAACAGGAUUAGAUACCCUUGUAGUC